AUGAUUUUGUCAAAGUGGAAAUGUUAUAUUCCCUUCUGCUGUUCAACUGUACAGACGUGUUACACCCUGUUAACAACUAACCUGCUAACCCUGUUAACAACUAACCUGCUGACCCUGUUAACAACUAACCUGCUGACCCUUUUAACAACUAACCUGCUGACCCUUUUAACAACUAACCUGCUGACCCUGUUAACAACUAACCUGCUAACCCUGUUAACAACUAACCUGCUGACCCUGUUAACAACUAACCUGCUGACCCUGAUAACAACUAACCUGCUGACCCUGUUAACAACUAACCUGCUGACCCUGAUAACAACUAACCUGCUGACUCUGUUAACAACUAACCUGCUGACCCUGUUAACAACUAACCUGCUGACCCUGAUAACUAACCUGCUGACCCUGAUAACUAACCUGCUAACCCUGUUAACAACUAACCUGCUGACCCUGUUAACAACUAACCUGCUGACCCUGUUAACAACUAACCUGCUGACCCUGUUAACAACUAACCUGCUGACCCUGUUAACAACUAACCUGAUAACCCUGUUAACAACUAACCUGCUGACCCUGUUAACAACUAACCUGCUGACCCUGAUAACAACUAACCUGCUAACCCUGUUAACAACUAACCUGCUGACCCUGUUAACAACUAACCUGCUAACCCUGUUAACAACUAACCUGCUAACCCUGUUAACAACUAACCUGCUAACCCUGUUAACAACUAACCUGCUGACCCUGUUAACAACUAACCUGCUGACCCUGAUAACUAACCUGCUGACCCUGUUAACAACUAACCUGCUGACCCUGAUAACAACUAACCUGCUGACCCUGUUAACAACUAACCUGCUAACCCUGUUAACAACUAACCUGCUGACCCUGUUAACAACUAACCUGCUAACCCUGUUAACAACUAACCUGCUAACCCUGUUAACAACUAACCUGCUGACCCUGUUAACAACUAACCUGCUAACCCUGUUAACAACUAACCUGCUGACCCUGUUAACAACUAACCUGCUGACCCUGUUAACAACUAACCUGCUAACUCUGUUAACAACUAACCUGCUGACCCUGUUAACAACUAACCUGCUAACCCUGUUAACAACUAACCUGCUAACCCUGUUAACAACUAACCUGCUAACCCUGUUAACAACUAACCUGCUGACCCUGUUAACAACUAACCUGCUGACCCUGUUAACAACUAACCUGCUAACCCUGUUAACAACUAACCUGCUGACCCUGUUAACAACUAACCUGCUAACCCUGUUAACAACUAACCUGCUGACCCUGUUAACAACUAACCUGCUGACCCUGUUAACAACUAACCUGCUAACCCUGAUAACAACUAACCUGCUGACCCUGAUAACAACUAACCUGCUGACCCUGAUAACAACUAACCUGCUGACCCUGUUAACAAAUAACCUGCUGACCCUGUUAACAACUAACCUGCUGACCCUGAUAACUAACCUGCUGACCCUGUUAACAACUAACCUGCUGACACUGAUAACUAACCUGCUGACCCUGUUAACAACUAACCUGCUGACACUGAUAACUAACCUGCUGACCCUAACACGGUUAAUUAACAUGAUAUUUGUGUACAAAUGGAGGAUAGGUAAUGAAUGCACCUUUAAAUAUCAAAAUGCUUUCCCUCCCCAAAUGUGUGCAAAUGUAAUUAUAAUAACCAGCAGUGGUUGCCUUCUUCGAAGAAGCGGAAUAUUUAUACCAUUAUUGCGACUUUGUUAA
Molecule: long non-coding RNA, 1737 nt
Organism: Salmo trutta (river trout)
Lineage: Eukaryota; Metazoa; Chordata; Actinopteri; Salmoniformes; Salmonidae
Source: Ensembl